RNAcentral lists this ribosomal RNA (497 nucleotides) under uncultured bacterium. Its description in RNAcentral is "partial 16S ribosomal RNA". It matches the Rfam family "Bacterial small subunit ribosomal RNA", at positions 28 to 507 of the family's 1533-position model. The record is from RNAcentral.
GAUGAACGCUGGCGGCGUGCCUAAUACAUGCAAGUAGAACGCUGAAGGAAGGAGCUUGCUCUUUCCGGAUGAGUUGCGAACGGGUGAGUAACGCGUAGGUAACCUGCCUGGUAGCGGGGGAUAACUAUUGGAAACGAUAGCUAAUACCGCAUAACAGUAGGUGUUGCAUGACAACUAUUUGAAAGGGGCAAUUGCUCCACUACCAGAUGGACCUGCGUUGUAUUAGCUAGUUGGUGAGGUAACGGCUCACCAAGGCGACGAUACAUAGCCGACCUGAGAGGGUGAUCGGCCACACUGGGACUGAGACACGGCCCAGACUCCUACGGGAGGCAGCAGUAGGGAAUCUUCGGCAAUGGACGGAAGUCUGACCGAGCAACGCCGCGUGAGUGAAGAAGGUUUUCGGAUCGUAAAGCUCUGUUGUAAGAGAAGAACGAGUGUGAGAGUGGAAAGUUCACACUGUGACGGUAUCUUACCAGAAAGGGACGGCUAACUACGUG